GCAGACGCUGCUUAGGAAGUCCUCUUGCAGCACGCUUAAAUUCGAGUGGAGAUCAACAUGGCCAAAUUAAGCACAUGCCUCUUGGUCAUAAUUGCAAUGAGGCUAUUUUUGAUCGAAGUUUCUCAGCAAGCAUUGGAGUACAGGUUUCUUCCUUUCGAAAACGGAAAGUGCAUCUUCAAUGGCGAAAAAGUCGGCGUUGAACAAAGCACGUACGAGAUAAAGACGUGCAAACGGUGGACUUGCUAUGGGAAAAUUAACAGCACUCAUGGCAAAAUGAGGGGCGCAUCGUGUGGGGCUGUGUGGGCUCCACCACCAUGUAAAGUAAUACCUAUGGGACCAGGUAUAUACCCGAAAUGUUGUCCGAAGCCAUCAUGUCCUAACAAGGAUAUUGUAUAAACUAGGCGCUUAUGAAUAAAAAAAUUAUUGAAAUAUUGUCACUU
Molecule: long non-coding RNA, 440 nt
Organism: Rhipicephalus microplus (southern cattle tick)
Lineage: Eukaryota; Metazoa; Arthropoda; Arachnida; Ixodida; Ixodidae
Source: RefSeq, a predicted model, not a curated record